This 1169-nucleotide non-coding RNA is filed under the name Enterocytozoon bieneusi H348. Its description in RNAcentral is "Eukaryotic large subunit ribosomal RNA". It matches the Rfam family "Eukaryotic large subunit ribosomal RNA", at positions 951 to 2617 of the family's 3401-position model. The record is from Rfam by way of RNAcentral. Lineage: Eukaryota; Fungi; Microsporidia; Enterocytozoonidae.
CUGGUUCGGCCGAAUGUCUCUCGGACAGCGGUGUCUGCGAAUAGGAAGAUGCGGUAGAGAGGAUGUCGACCUUGUCAACAAACUCCGAAUGCGUCAUUGUGUUGCGAUUGCAUCCAACAUGAUCAUCUAUAAGACACUAGUGGGCGCCUUGUGGUAAGCAUGCGGCGCAAAAAGGGAUGAACCUAGCAGUGGGGUAAGGUGCCUAAAGGAAAACAAAGAGAAAAAGCGUUUGGCAGAUUAGGACAGUGGGGCGGUGGCCAUGGAGGUCGGCAUCCGCUAAGAAACGUGUUACAACGUACCCACCGAAUCUGCGAAUGCUGAAAAUGGAUGGCGCUUAUUUCCAUACCGAGCCCCACAUGGUACAGCCACGUAGGCCGGCACGUGUGCAUCUGAGAAGACCCGCCGUGAGGUGUGUUGGAGAUGUUCACGGAGCAGAUCUUGGAAGUAGUAGCAUCAUUUGUAUGUGCCAAUGGAGGCGGGUUUGUCCUUUUAAUAGAAGGAAGUGAUACGAGCCUAGUAAAAGGGAAUAUAGUAGAUAUUCUAUAUAGAUGUACCUAUGUGGCGACACGACAGCGACCCCAACGACGUGUGCCGGUGAGAAUUUUCCGGGACACCCAGAUCUUAUGAGCGUCACGCUGAGACUAAGAACGAGUUGGGCGGUGAAAAUGAAGGAACAUCCUCGUACCGAACCGCAACAGGACUCCUAGGUGAGAAGCCUAAGGCAUAAUUGUAAUGUGAGCAAGGGAAAUCGGCAAAAUGGAUGAAAAACCUCGGGAUAAUCAUUGGCUCUAGCAUGCUAGAACUGGGCUUACAAGGGGAAUCUGACUGUUUAAUAAAAACAUAGCUUUGUGUGUACGCAAAGUGAAUUCUGCCCAGUGCUUGGGACGUUAAGGAAGUAAUUUUAAGUACGCACCUGUAAACGGCGGGAGUAACUAUGACUCUCUUAAGGUAGCCAAAUGCCUCGUCGCCUAAUUAGCGACCCGCAUGAAUGGAGCAACGAGAUUCCCACUGUCCCUGCUCACAGAUUUGCGAACUACAGCCAAGGGAACGGGCUUGGGAAUGCAUCGGGGAAAAAAAACCUGUUGAACUGACUCUAGCCAAGCAAGGGCCUGGUGACUAUUACGAUACCAGGGGGAAAAAUGUGGGAAACCCGUGACUAAUCGGCGGGG